This 253-nucleotide ribosomal RNA is filed under the name uncultured bacterium. RNAcentral describes it as "partial 16S ribosomal RNA". It matches the Rfam family "Bacterial small subunit ribosomal RNA", at positions 524 to 776 of the family's 1533-position model. The record is from RNAcentral.
UACGUAGGGUGCAAGCGUUGUCCGGAAUUAUUGGGCGUAAAGAGCUCGUAGGCGGUUUGUCGCGUCUGCUGUGAAAACUCGGGGCUUAACCCUGGGCCUGCAGUGGGUACGGGCAGACUAGAGUGCGGUAGGGGAGACUGGAAUUCCUGGUGUAGCGGUGAAAUGCGCAGAUAUCAGGAGGAACACCGGUGGCGAAGGCGGCCCACUGGUCCGGUACUGACGCUGAGGUGCGAAAGCGUGGGGAGCAAACAGG